RNAcentral lists this ribosomal RNA (757 nucleotides) under uncultured bacterium. RNAcentral describes it as "bacterial SSU rRNA". It matches the Rfam family "Bacterial small subunit ribosomal RNA", at positions 8 to 796 of the family's 1533-position model. The record is from RNAcentral.
AGAGUUUGAUCCUGGCUCAGAACGAACGCUGGCGGCAUGCCUAACACAUGCAAGUCGAACGAUGUCUUCGGGCAUAGUGGCGCACGGGUGAGUAACGCGUGGGAACCUGCCUUUCGGUUCGGAAUAACUGCGGGAAACUGCAGCUAAUACCGGAUACGUCGGUAUCCUUUAGCGGGAUAUCGGGAAAGAUUUAUCGCCGAGAGAGGGGCCCGCGUCCGAUUAGGUAGUUGGUGAGGUAACGGCUCACCAAGCCUACGAUCGGUAGCUGGUCUGAGAGGAUGAUCAGCCACACUGGGACUGAGACACGGCCCAGACUCCUACGGGAGGCAGCAGUGGGGAAUAUUGGACAAUGGGCGCAAGCCUGAUCCAGCAAUGCCGCGUGAGUGAUGAAGGCCUUAGGGUUGUAAAGCUCUUUCGGCGGGGACGAUGAUGACGGUACCCGCAGAAGAAGCCCCGGCUAACUUCGUGCCAGCAGCCGCGGUAAUACGAAGGGGGCUAGCGUUGUUCGGAAUUACUGGGCGUAAAGGGCGCGUAGGCGGCGCUACAAGUUAGGCGUGAAAGCCCCGGGCUCAACCUGGGAAUUGCGUUUGAUACUGUAGUGCUAGAGUUCGGGAGAGGUGAGUGGAAUUCCCAGUGUAGAGGUGAAAUUCGUAGAUAUUGGGAAGAACACCAGUGGCGAAGGCGGCUCACUGGACCGACACUGACGCUGAGGCGCGAAAGCGUGGGGAGCAAACAGGAUUAGAUACCCUAGUAGUCC